CCCUUAGAUGUUCUGGGCCGCACGCGUGCUACACUGAGUAAUUCAAUGGGUAAGGGAACGCUAGAGCAUUACCUAAUCUUGAAAUUUGCUCGUGAUGGGGAUCGACGGUUGCAAUUUUCCGUCGUGAACGAGGAAUACCUUGUAGGCGCAUGUCAACAUCAUGCGCCGAAUACGUCCCUGCCCUUUGUACACACCGCCCGUCGCUCCUACCGAUUGAGUGAUCCGGUGAGGCUCUGGGACCUGGACGGAAAGAGCGUUUCGCUUGUUCUGUUUGGGAAACUUGGUCGAACCUUAUCAUUUAGAGGAAGGAGAAGUCGUAACA
RNAcentral lists this ribosomal RNA (322 nucleotides) under uncultured eukaryote. RNAcentral describes it as "partial 18S ribosomal RNA". It matches the Rfam family "Eukaryotic small subunit ribosomal RNA", at positions 1470 to 1796 of the family's 1831-position model. The record is from RNAcentral.